UAGCGAAAUUCCUUGUCGGGUAAGUUCCGCCCUGCACGAAUGGCGUAAUGAUGGCCAGGCUGUCUCCCCCCGAGACUCAGUGAAAUAGAACUCGCUGUGAAGAUGCAGUGAACCCGCGGCAAGACGGAAAGACCCCGUGAACCUUUACUAUAGCUUGACACUGAACAUUGAGCCUUGAUGUGGAGGAUAGGUGGGAGGCUUUGAAGCGUGGACGCCAGUCUGCGUGGAGCCAACCUUGAAAUACCACGGUGCUGA
Molecule: ribosomal RNA, 255 nt
Filed under: Klebsiella pneumoniae
Lineage: Bacteria; Pseudomonadati; Pseudomonadota; Gammaproteobacteria; Enterobacterales; Enterobacteriaceae
Description: partial 23S ribosomal RNA
Rfam family: Bacterial large subunit ribosomal RNA
Source: RNAcentral